AUUGAACGCUGGCGGCAUGCCUUACACAUGCAAGUCGAACGGUAGAGUAGCAAUACUCGAGAGUGGCGAACGGGUGAGUAACAUAUCGGAACGUGCCCAAUCGUGGGGGAUAACGUAGAGAAAUUUACGCUAAUACCGCAUACGAUCUAAGGAUGAAAGCGGGGGAUCGCAAGACCUCGCGCGAUUGGAGCGGCUGAUAUCAGAUUAGGUUGUUGGUGAGGUAAAAGCUCACCAAGCCGACGAUCUGUAGCUGGUUUGAGAGAACGACCAGCCACACUGGGACUGAGACACGGCCCAGACUCCUACGGGAGGCAGCAGUGGGGAAUUUUGGACAAUGGGCGAAAGCCUGAUUCAGCAAUGCCGCGUGCAGGAAGAAGGCCU
This 381-nucleotide ribosomal RNA is filed under the name uncultured bacterium. RNAcentral's name for it is "bacterial SSU rRNA". It matches the Rfam family "Bacterial small subunit ribosomal RNA", at positions 30 to 417 of the family's 1533-position model. The record is from RNAcentral.